GAUGAACGCUGGCGGCGUGCCUAAUACAUGCAAGUCGAGCGAACAGACGAGGAGCUUGCUCCUCUGACGUUAGCGGCGGACGGGUGAGUAACACGUGGAUAACCUACCUAUAAGACUGGGAUAAAUUCGGGAAACCGGAGCGAAUACCGGAUAAUAUAUUGAACCGCAUGGUUCAAUAGUGAAAGACGGUUUUGCUGUCACUUAUAGAUGGAUCCGCGCCGCAUUAGCUAGUUGGUAAGGUAACGGCUUACCAAGGCAACGAUGCGUAGCCGACCUGAGAGGGUGAUCGCCCACACUGGAACUGAGACACGGUCCAGACUCCUACGGGAGGCAGCAGUAGGGAAUCUUCCGCAAUGGGCGAAAGCCUGACGGAGCAACGCCGCGUGAGUGAUGAAGGUCUUCGGAUCGUAAAACUCUGUUAUUAGGGAAGAACAAAUGUGUAAGUAAAUAUGCACGUCUUGACGGUACCUAAUCAGAAAGCCACGGCUAACUACGUG
Molecule: ribosomal RNA, 497 nt
Filed under: uncultured bacterium
Lineage: Bacteria
Description: partial 16S ribosomal RNA
Rfam family: Bacterial small subunit ribosomal RNA
Source: RNAcentral